GCCCUCUUAGCUCAGCCGGUAGAGCACUUCCAUGGUAAGGAAGGGGUCGGGGGUUCGAGUCCCCCAGAGGGCU
RNAcentral lists this transfer RNA (73 nucleotides) under Solirubrobacterales bacterium. RNAcentral's name for it is "tRNA-Thr". It matches the Rfam family "tRNA". From Rfam's summary of the family: Transfer RNA (tRNA) molecules are approximately 80 nucleotides in length. RNAcentral also lists the same sequence under 2 other names. The record is from RNAcentral. Lineage: Bacteria; Bacillati; Actinomycetota; Thermoleophilia; Solirubrobacterales.